UGAUGGCACCUAGUCUCUAUGACUAGGUAAGCCUAAUUUGCGGAAGAAAACCAAAAUUUACGGAAGUAAAACAAUUUAAAAUAGAAAUAAAGUAGUAACAAUGUUUAAAUGUGCCGCUCGGCUUACACCAUGUUUAACUCUCACUACCAAUACAUAAAUUCAAGACCCGAAAACCCACGAAUCACAAGCUAAGAUCAAUACUAUAUAGCUCUAACUUCGGAAUGUCUAAUAAGAACAAAAAAAUUACAAAAGGGCUAAAUACUAAAAGCAGGAAUAGAAAGAGACUUCUCGGUUUGCGGACGCGGCAGAUGUACCUCGAAGUGUCUAGAGCAGUCGCCUCCUCAAGGAUGAUAGGCCUGAGUAGCGGUACCUGGAUCUGCACAUGAAAAAUAUGCACAGUAGGGGGAUGAAUACACCGCGGUACUCAGUAAGUGUCAAGCCUAACCUCGGUUGGAUAGUGACGAGGAAGGUCAGGGCCCUACUGAGAUUAGAUAAAUAUAAAGAUGACAGGAUAAGAUAAGUGGUACAAUUGAGAAUCUACAGUAAGAAUCUACACAGGAUAAUAAGAGUACAAUAAUGGAAACAGAGAUGAAGGCAAACCACAAGGAAGUACCACUCACAACAAGGCUGAUAACCGGGGAUCUCUGAGUAUCCCGAGGAUCUCUUGAUAUCCUCUAUGUAUACAAGGGAUCUCUUGGUAUCCUCAAUAUAUGCUAGGGAUCUCUUGGUAUCCCGAGGAUCUCUUGGUAUCCUCAUUAUACGUGCCAAGGAUCUCUUGGUAUCCUCAAUAUACGUGACAGGGAUCUCUUGGUAUCCCGCACCUCACUCCAGAUCAUAAAUACGUACAGAGGAUCUCCCGGGAUGCCAUCCCGUAGUCCCAAAUUAAAAACACACAGAAGCAACACAAGAAUACUUAAUUAAAUGCUAAUUUCGUGCCAAGUAAAUAGUUAAUUCUAGCCUAACAUGCUUCAUGUAAAGCAAUUAAAGUUGUUUAAGCAAAUAGGCAAUUAAGUCAACCAAACAUGCUUUUCUAAGCUACAACAGGCCAAAUUCGCAAGUAGAAUAAAACAGGACAAAGAAACUCAAUUGAAAUACUUAAAGUAAAAUCGGAUUUUCAACAAUUAGUUCAAGUACGCACUCGUCACCUCACGUACAAGGCAUUUCAAUUAUCAAAUAUAUCAUAUCCUAAGGGGAAAGUCCCCCACAUAAGGUUAGACAAGUCACUUACCUCGAACCAGCUCAAAAUUAACCCGACACCACGUCUUUGCCACGAGUACUCAACUCCAGAUGGCACAAGUCUAUUCAAUUCAAUUUCAUAGUGUAAAUAACGCUUCAAGUAACGGAUUCUACAAUUAAGGUCUAAGCUAAUACGCAAAAUUAUGUAAAAUGACCAAAAUGCCCCUCGGAUCCACGUCUCAAAAUCGGGUGAAAUUUAUAUUUUCAGAAACCUCGUACUCUCACGAGUCUAUACAUAAUAAGAACACUGAAAUCGGAGUCCAAAUAACCCUUCAAAUCCUCAUUUAAAGGUCUCUUAAACUCAAGCCCUAAAUACUCAUUCUUCCCAAAUUUUUCACCACUAAUUAGGUCUUUAAUCACAUAAAAAUGAGUUAUGAAGUCAAGAAUGUUACCUCCAAGUGAUUACCCUUUGUUUCCCUCGAAAAUCUCUCUCAAAAGCUUCAAACCCGGAUGAAAAUGGUGAAAGAAUAGUUAAAAUUUGCGAAGGCAAUUAUUUAUAUGUUCUGGCCAGCGAUUUCCGCAUCUGCGGCCCUGGGACCGCAUCUGGGGUCCUGCUUCUGUGGAGCCAAGGUCGCAUCUGCGACUUUUUAUUAAAGGGCCAGCUUCCGCAUCUGCUACUCCCAAUCCGCAGAUGCGGUACCACUUCUAUGGUAUUAUCACCGCUUCUGCGGUUUGUGAAGAAAUGACCAAAUUCCGCAUCUGCAGUUAUCCUUCUGCAGGUGCAGUACCGCUUCUGCGGUAAACUACCUGCAUCUGCGGUUCCUGAAGAGAUGGCCAAUUUUCGCUUUUGUUUCCACUUAGCCGCUUCUGCGGUGCCGCACCUGCGGAACCCAAACCACAGGUGUGGUUAUGACAGAACCAGCUGUGAGCACGUGAUUUUUGCCCCACAAGAACUACUCCCAAAAAAAUCAAAAUAAAAUAGUUUUGCGUUGCUUAUGAUUUAUUUGUACUUGUCUGUGCAUGUUCAUUUUUUUUACUUUAAUUAAGAAAAAUACAAAAAUAUAUGUGUUGUAUUUGCAUUUACAAUUUAGGAUUAAUUAAAAAGUAAUUUGUUUUACGAAAAUGAAAAUCGAAAAAUAACGUACUUCGCAUUUUUAUGGUUUAAUGUCAAAUUGUGUGAUUAUCUUUGUAUUUAAUUUUGUGUGAUAAUUAUUAUUAAGGGUUAAUUAGUAUUUUUUUAAAUUAAUUUUGGUAAUUAGGAAUCAAAAAGAAAAUAAAAGAAAAAAAGAAGGAACAAGAGAAGAAGAGUUAAAAAUCGCACUGGGCUGGUUUUUAAAAGAAAGGUUCAGGCCCAAUGUCACACCCCAACCCAGGCCCAAACCGGCUGGUCUCAGAGAUGGCCAAAACGACGUCGUUCCCUGACGCCCAAUCUGGGCCGUUUAUAUGAUUCAAUCCAACGGUCCAGGUCACCCCUCCCAUAACCCGUAUUGACCCAUUCCCCAUACUCGUUCCUAUACCCGCCCUGACACCGUUACUACUAAACGACCCCGUUUGGCUUAAGUAAAUUAAUCUGGACCGUUCGUUCCCAUCAUCCAAUGGCCCAGAUUAAUCAACUUAGUUUCAAUAUGUCAAAACACCCCAAACCCCUUCACUCGCCUCAUUUUCACCCUUCGUCUCUUUCAGAGACGAACUAAACGACCCAACCAAACCCUAGCCGCCCUCAUACCCCUUCGCCUGAAAGCCGGCAGCAACGAUGCCGGUGACCAUGAAAUUCACACCCCUAAACCUUCUAACCAUCCUCAACACAAAUCCCUUCCCCUUUAACCUCGAAUCAUUCCGGUUUGUUUCAAAUCUUCAAUCGAAGAUUCGAGCAAAACCCUAAACCUACCCAACCAGUCCCAAGUUCACACCUCAGCUCCAACUGACCUCCCUCGUUCCCGAACCACCCUUAUUUUUGUUCGAAUCCCAUUAGAACUAGUCGAAUCUUAAAUCGACUAACAAACCCUAAAAGGACCAAGACUGGAACCUGUCCAAAAUUAGGAGAGUUUUGAGGCUGUUAAUCGACCUUAGUCGAGUGUGCUCAGUCGAGAACACUCGAUUAAGGUCCAUUUUUUUGCCUCAGAAGUUCAAGUCGGAACUACGAAGGUCAAUGAGAACGGAGUUCAUUUGGUUUCUGAAAUUUCGAGGUAUUUCUUUUGUUUGCCUUUUUCUUUUGUUGUUGUUUUAUUUCUGACUGAUUAGUUCGUCAUUUAGGUCAAUUAAUCCUCCUCCUCUUUCGGACCUUUUUCUGGUCCAGUUCUUCUCGUCUUGGUCGAUUGGCAUAUGUUGAAUCGUUUGAGUAUGUUUGUUUUUUUAGUUUGGUUGUAAAAGUCAGUGUCCGUAAUAUUCUUGUACAAAAACUGUGUCUAGUCUUGUAAUUGGUUACUAGUAUUACGAGUUCAAAUGAUCUCACUUUUUGUGAUGUUUGGCUCCUUAUUUUUUUUGUUGUUCAUCAUUUCACAUAUAAAUUCAGUUAUUUUCGUCCAGUAUGUGACAGUAUUUCAUUCAUUUUGUUUAGUUUAGAGUUGUGAAUAUAGUUAGUCAUUCCCAUGUAAUGUGUCAAUCAUGGUUGGAAGUUCUAACCUGGUUAUGUUCAAAUAUGUUUUGUCCUGAUUCGUUGGCCUUCAUUUUGAUACCAUUUGAUCUAAUCUGAGUUCUAAGUUCGAACUGCUAAGUGAAUUUGAAUUAAAUUGGUUAUAGCUAUUGUAGUUUGGUGAUCAAUUAGGAAUCAGCUUAGUUAUUUGAUUAAGGAGAUUGGUUAUAGCUUAUGAGGUACAGGGGAUUGGACUAGGACAGUAAAUCACAGUAAUUUCAGGGGUAGUUUUGGGGUUUAAAAGUUUGGCAAAAUGGUCUUGCUAAGUGGGCUGUCAAUAAAGCACUUAAUUAACAUUAAACUAAUGCAUUUGUUUAGUGUUAAUGGGGAACAAAACAUAAUGGUAUGGGGAGGCUUAAAAGGGAUUGAUUAAAAUAUGUUGUCCAUACCUAUUUGAACAUUAAAUAAGGAAAGGACAAGGGAUAAUGUGGAAAAACAUACUCUAGUGGAGUGCUAAAGGUAUCAUGGGCAGAAUUAGUUUCUGAAAUCUGCCUAGUGUUCUUACAGGCUGGCAGGGUCAGUGUUUGGGUAUAAGUGGGGGGAUUUUGGACAGAGUUGAGGAUCCUUUUUUUUUAGUCUGGGUCUUGAUCUUUUCUUUUGGGGGUUCAGUCUUUGAGAGAGUGUUUUAGACAACCAUCUCACACUGUUACAUUGAUCUCAAGAGCAGAAGCAGUUCAAAUCUUUCUGCUCCUGUUCUGUGCUUGGAUAUUCAGGGCAUUUGAAGAUAGUUGGGGAUUUACUNNNNNNNNNNNNNNNNNNNNNNNNNNNNNNNNNNNNNNNNNNNNNNNNNNNNNNNNNNNNNNNNNNNNNNNNNNNNNNNNNNNNNNNNNNNNNNNNNNNNNNNNNNNNNNNNNNNNNNNNNNNNNNNNNNNNNNNNNNNNNNNNNNNNNNNNNNNNNNNNNNNNNNNNNNNNNNNNNNNNNNNNNNNNNNNNNNNNNNNNNNNNNNNNNNNNNNNNNNNNNNNNNNNNNNNNNNNNNNNNNNNNNNNNNNNNNNNNNNNNNNNNNNNNNNNNNNNNNNNNNNNNNNNNNNNNNCGAGGGGCUGGGUAUUAUCUGAAUUGCUGAAAGGUGUCCUAUGACUGCCUAGUCUAAUUUCUAGUAGAUUCAGUAUUUUGGUUAAGCUUCUUUCUUCCUGGGCUUUGUGACUGUGGUUUGGUCUUGAGCUUGGCCCUGUUUGUUGUUGUUGAUUGUCAAUCUGUUGGUGUUAUUGUUUGUUGUUGCUACUGUUGCAUUGUUGUGGCUGAUCUCUUCUUCUUCCAUUGUAACUGAUUUCCAGGUACACAACCGUAACUUUGGCAUUUGUAAGCUGAAAACAUGGAGUUUUAAUAUACGUGAAGAGUUGAAAUUUUGUUUUGGUUUCUAUAUGACUGAUGUAUUUAAAUUCUUCAAUCACUGCUGUUAGUAUAUAGAUCCCUGUUAGUAUGUAGUAAGUGGACUGAAAUGGAGUUGUAUGAGAGAUUUUUUUUUAAUAUAGUUCAUACUGAAACGUGUUAGCAUCUGGUAACUGAUUCCUGUAGUAAAAAAUGAGCUUGUUGGACUGUUAAAUUAAUCUGGACUGUGACUAUUAGAUUACUGGAUCAUUGGAUUAUGUUCGACUAAUUCUGAAUGUCAGUUUUUAUGCCAAUGGCAAAUUCAGGAAAGUACCACAUCAAUUGAAAGGAAAAGGAAAGUGUAGAAUGUAAAUAGUAUUGGACUUUGGUUAAAGCGUCGACUGUAGGCAUUAGCUAUAGUUAGUUUAGUGUGUGUGUUCAGUUUAAACACUUAAAGCUAGAAAUAACAGGAGUUAGCAUUCUAUUUUGGAACCUGUGAUAUUGUGCUUGCAUUAAGGGCCGUUGUUCAAAUUGGUAAUAGCAGUCAUGUAAAUGUCGAACUAGAUGUUAGGAUGGCAGUGGCAUAAGACGUUGGCUGAUCCGUUAGUUAAAAACAGAGUUGGGGUAUCAAUUGCAUGUUUUGGAAAUACGAAAUCAUUUUGCGAGUUGUUUACCUGCUUUCAGUGCAUUAUUAAUUCGUUUUAAUUACAAUAGGUGAUGAAUUAGUGAAUUGGUAUUAAACUAGUGGCUUAGAAACUUCGUUCAGGAUCGUUUAAGUUAAUAUGAGCAGUCUGGGCCAUACCGUGGCCCAAUUGUAUGGAUCAUUCGAAUUUGGUAACAACCCCCCCCCCCCCCCCUUUAGGCCACUAACAUGCUUGCUAGCCCGAUGCUUUGAUCAAAGGCCCCAAAAUUGGGCAUUUUUAAACACGCAUGCUUUUAGAUAUAGUAGUUCAUAAAUUAACUAAGUUUUUUUUAUUAUUAUUAGAGACAAUAAUAUUAAAUAGAAAACGUAGUUUACUUUAGGUUUUCUUUUAAUAAUAAAACGAGACGAGCCUCGCCAAAGAAAAAAAAAUAAAGAUCGCGGGGCUCUCGUUAAAUGUAUAUAUUAAAAUACUUAGAUUUCGGGACGGGCCGUUUAGCGAAUUUCACGGUUUUUCCCAAAAUAAUAACGUGCUAGCCACUUUAGGCGCGCUCUUAAUAAUUUACUCUUUUAAACUCGGGUGCACAUUUAUGUGACCCAAAUCCAAAUCUCAAUGGAGUCGAAAUGUGUCAAUAACCACGGGUGCAUCUAUGUGACGUGGUUCAAGACUUGUUUUAACGACGUUGCAAUGUUCUUUAAAAAUAAUAAUAAUAAAAGCGGUAAAAGGUUAAAAUUCGCAUAUAGGUUCAACAUGUAUUAAAAUCAGAUAAAUAAGCCGAAUAAGACAUUUGAGCGACCGUGCUAGAACCACGGAACUCGGGAAUGCCUAACACCUUCUCCCGGGUUAACAGAAUUCCUUAUCCGGAUUUCUGGUUCGCGGACUGUAAUACAGAGUCAAUCUUUUCCUCGAUUCGGGAUUCAACUGGUGACUCGGGACACCAUAAAUCUCCCAAGUGGCGACUCAGAAUUAAAUAAUAAAUCCCGCUUCGAUUGUCCUUUAAUUGGAAAAAACUCCCCUAUUACGCCCUCGCGGGCGCAUGUAAAAAGGAGGUGUGACACCAGCAGCUGAAGCUGCAACUUUAAUUCCAAAAUCUUUUCGUCAACCAUCCGAAAUCAUCCCGAGGUCUCCUGAACCUCAACCAAAGGCACCAACAAGUCACAAACCACUAUCCAAACUUGUAUCAAUCCUUAAAACACCUAAAACAACAUCAAAACCUCGAAUUAACCAUGGAUUUAAGCCUAAGAACUCCAAAAUUCUCAAAAUACGCUUUCGAUCAAAAAGUCUAUCAAACAUCGUCUGAAUAACCUGAAAUUUUGUACACACGUCACAUUCAACACUACGAAGCUACUCCAACUUCCGGAAUUCUAUUCCGACCCUCGGAUCAAAAUCUCACUACCAGACCGGAACUUCAAAAAUUCAACUUCCGGCAUUUCAAGCUUAAAUUAGCUGCGGACCUUCAAAACACACUCCGAACACGCCCCUAAGCCCGAAAUCACCUAACGGAGUUAACGAAACCAUCGAAUUUUCAUUCUGAGGCCGUCUUCAUACUGUUCCGACUACGAUCAACUUUUCAACACUUAAGCUCUCAUAUAGGGACUAAGUUUCCCAAAACUCUCUGAAACUCGAAACCGAAUAUCCCGACAAAUCAAAAUAGCAGAAAUAAACUCGGGGAAAGCAGUUAAUAAGGGAUCGGGACCUUAGUUCUUAAGACGACCGGCCGGAUCGUCACAGAGGACGUCUUUGAACGAGGAGGUGGUAGCAUGAGUGUUAGUGGUUGAAUUUGUUGCAAGAGAAUCAUUAUCUUCAUGCGGAGAAAGUGUAUUGGUUGGUUUUGUAAUAGUAGAGUUAUUACUUUCAUAUUCGUGAUUAAUAUCUGGAGGUUUUGGGGGGAUUUGGAGGGAUUGGUGGACAUUUGACGAAGGUUUAUCAUUGCUUUUAUGGAAAAAGAGGGAGAAGAAGACUAGCAUAUUUCAAAAUUCGCUCUCUCAACUUAGCACUCACAUGUAUAAAUUCUAGAUAUGUCACUGUCCAAAAUUUUUAUGACAUGUCGAAUAUGUAAUAAUUUUUUGUAUAACUACCAUUAUUUUCCGUAGGGCAUCUCCCACCUUUACCCCAUUUUUGGUCCCCAAAAUGGAGAUUUCUUCAUUUUGAGAACAACUUACUCCAACUAUUCCUCCAUUUUUUCUCCCAAAACAAUUUUCUUUUAUAUUUUCUCUCUCUUCUAUAUUAUAUUAUUCUCUUUCAUUUCAAUUUUAUUUUUUAAUUUUCAUUAAACAAAUUCAAUCUUUUAUUUUCAUUAAUUUAUAAUUUCCAUUAAAACAAUUCCAUAAAAUUUGAAAUAAUAUAUAAUUUGCAAGCAAUUAUUAUAGAUUAACUAAUAAUUCAAAUAAAAGUGAAAUCAUUGCAAUACAAGACAAUCCAAUCAGAAAAUAAUCGGAUCAUUGAGGCGAUGAAUAAUGUAACCGAAGCAAAAAAAAAAAGUUUUGACUGUUCAAAAAGAAAAACUAAGAGUAAAAGAAAUGAAAGAAGAAAAUAAAGUUUAAUGAUGGAUGUGGAUUCUAUUGUCGAUCCGACUCGUCGUGAAUUUAUGCGACAAGACGAAUAAUGUAUAAAAGAAGUCAAUAAUAUCCACAAUCACAACCACAACAAUCUUUGUCCCAUUCACUCAAUCUAUAAUAAUUUUGGUGUUUCUGGAAACGACAUAUCUCCUACUAAGUUAUUAUUAUUAUGUUAUUUACCGUAGUUUCAGUUUUCAUGUAUUUCCAAUUUUAAGGUUUUUUCAUUUAAUGUAUUUUCAAUUUUAGCAACAUCUAAUAUUUUAUAUUCGCACCUUUCAAUUUUAGCAACAUCUAAUAUUUCAUAUUUGCACCAUUAAUUUUUUGAGAUGAUUAUAUAUUUUUUGUACAAUUAUAACUUAUAAUAAAAUUAACUUACAAUUUUACAUAAAAAUAAUAAAUGCACGAAAAUUAAUUUAUCAAAAUUAUACGUCAAAGUUAAAAUGUAAAAUUAAUAUUAUAAAGAUAUUACAUAAAUAUAAUUAGAUACAUAUAAAGAGAUAAAUUAAAAGAGUUAUAUAAUAAAAUAUGCAUGAAUAGUAGUGGGGGAGAGGGAACACUAUUCAUCUCCAUUUUGGGGACAAAAAUGAGGGAGGGUUGGAGUUUGGUUACCGUAAAAGUUGUCCAUUAUGAGGAAACCCGACCUUCCCCUUUGUAAGAAUUGCCCGCCCUUCUCUGGAAUUACCCGGGGAGAGUGACUACACUUUUCCUGCUGCGUCCCUUCCAGAUAACCUGCAACAAAACGCCAAUUCUUUUUUGUUUCCACCCCCAAUUUACUCAAUAUUAGUGCGUUUGUAAGUUAAAACGCAUAUGGGAAGAUGGGCGAAUCACUUCAAUGAAUGAACAUGUGCAAUUAUGCAAGUAGACUACGAGUAGUAGUAGUAGUACCCCAUCAAAAAUGAAAAUAGAAAAAGCAACAUUUAAGAAUACGUGGC
This 9248-nucleotide long non-coding RNA is filed under the name Nicotiana tabacum (common tobacco). RNAcentral's name for it is "long non-coding RNA (NTAB_LNC001933)". The record is from RNAcentral. Lineage: Eukaryota; Viridiplantae; Streptophyta; Magnoliopsida; Solanales; Solanaceae.